GGUAAACGCUGGCGGCGUGCCUAAAACAUGCAAGUCGAACGGAUAGUCGCAAGAUUAUCAGUGGCAGACGGCUGAGUAACGCGUGGGUGACGUGCCGAUAGGUGGGGAAUAACUGCCCGAAAGGGUGGCUAAUACCGCAUACGUCCACUGAUUCGAUUCAGUGGGGAAAGCUUCGCAAGAGGCGCCAUAGAGCGGCCCGCGUCCGAUUAGCUGGUUGGUGGGGUAACGGCCACCAAGGCGAUGAUCCGUAGCUGGUCUGGAGA
RNAcentral lists this ribosomal RNA (263 nucleotides) under uncultured bacterium. RNAcentral describes it as "partial 16S ribosomal RNA". It matches the Rfam family "Bacterial small subunit ribosomal RNA", at positions 28 to 298 of the family's 1533-position model. The record is from RNAcentral.